UGUCUUUGAGGCGGGGAGCAUUUCCCCACCGGCGGUAUAGCCCGCGAGCCCUUGGGAGCAUGAUCCGGUGAGAUUCCGGAGCCGACCGUAUAGUCGGGACGAGAAAAGGC
This 110-nucleotide non-coding RNA is filed under the name uncultured Selenomonas sp. Its description in RNAcentral is "FMN riboswitch (RFN element)". It matches the Rfam family "FMN riboswitch aptamer (RFN element)". From Rfam's summary of the family: The RFN element is a highly conserved domain that is found frequently in the 5'-untranslated regions of prokaryotic mRNAs that encode for flavin mononucleotide (FMN) biosynthesis and transport proteins. This element is a metabolite-dependent riboswitch that directly binds FMN in the absence of proteins. In Bacillus subtilis, the riboswitch most likely controls gene expression by causing premature transcription termination within the 5' untranslated region of the ribDEAHT operon and precluding access to the ribosome-binding site of ypaA mRNA. The record is from RNAcentral. Lineage: Bacteria; Bacillati; Bacillota; Negativicutes; Selenomonadales; Selenomonadaceae.